GGGGUUGUAGCUCAGUGGUAGAGCACUUGUCUAGCAUAUGUGAGGCACUGGGUUCAAUCCUCAACACCA
Molecule: non-coding RNA, 69 nt
Organism: Ictidomys tridecemlineatus (thirteen-lined ground squirrel)
Lineage: Eukaryota; Metazoa; Chordata; Mammalia; Rodentia; Sciuridae
Source: Rfam